UACGAAAAACUUUAGAAUUUUUUUAUAAUUAAUUAAAUAAAUAUUUUAAAAUUUUAUGUAAAUUAGCUGAUAAAAACGUGUAUAAAAGCGGAAGAUUUUUUUAAUAAUACUAAAGUCGUAAGUGAAUGUAAAUUAAACGGAUUCCAAUUUACCUCCGCUUGGUUAUCAAUCACUCCUAAAAAAAUGUUAAGCAAAUUAUUAAUAUUUAUUCUACUGAUUACACUUUUGGCUCUUAAUGCAAAUGGUGAAUAUUGUAUUCCCGUGGGACGAUCGUGUCAAUGGGACGAACCCCCACCUUGCUGUGGCAAUUCGGGAUGUAUCGUUUCAACGUCGGGAAAGGGAGAGUGUGAAAUUCUCGGAUCUGGAAAAUAAUCAAUAGAAAAUCCAUCUUAAGAUUUUGUUUACAAUUAUCUUAAUAAAAAAGUAUACGGAAAUUGUUA
Long non-coding RNA from Microplitis mediator, 440 nucleotides. RefSeq lists it as uncharacterized. The transcript is spliced from 3 exons. The record is from RefSeq and is a predicted model, not a curated record. NCBI's taxonomy places the organism in Eukaryota, Metazoa, Arthropoda, Insecta, Hymenoptera, Braconidae.